GAUGAACGCUAGCGGCAGGCCUAACACAUGCAAGUCGAGGGGCAGCACGUCUUCGGAUGGUGGCGACCGGCGCACGGGUGCGUAACGCGUAUGCAACCUACCUCUUACAGUGGGAUAGCCCAGAGAAAUUUGGAUUAAUACCGCAUAGUAUACAGAUUCAGCAUUGGGACUGUAUUAAACAUUUANGGGUAAGAGAUGGGCAUGCGUUCUAUUAGUUAGUUGGAGUGGUAACGGCACCCCAAGACAGCGAUAGAUAGGGGCCCUGAGAGGGGGAUCCCCCGACACUGGUACUGAGACACGGACCAGACUCCUACGGGAGCAGCAGUGAGGAAUAUUGGACAAUGGGCGAGAG
Molecule: ribosomal RNA, 352 nt
Filed under: uncultured bacterium
Lineage: Bacteria
Description: bacterial SSU rRNA
Rfam family: Bacterial small subunit ribosomal RNA
Source: RNAcentral